Molecule: long non-coding RNA, 299 nt
Organism: Epinephelus fuscoguttatus (brown-marbled grouper)
Lineage: Eukaryota; Metazoa; Chordata; Actinopteri; Perciformes; Serranidae
Exons: 3
Source: RefSeq, a predicted model, not a curated record
CAGCCAAUCAGUGUGGCUGUAGCGCCGCCUGCUGGUGAGAGACAGAAACAGCAGGAGACGUGCCAGAGAGAGAAGAGUCGAGGCAACAAGGAGAGGAGGAGAUAAGAGUAAAGACACAGUAAACAGCAGGCCAGGUGCUAGCUGUGGGGAUCGUUUGGUGUUUGUACAUCGGAAGAUGGAGAACGAAGAUGGUGAACCAUCCGUAGGAGAAAUGGUGUUGGAUAGACGUCUGCUUCCACACAGCCAACCUGCACUCCAAGGAUAAAGACAAUGAAUCAUGUUCUGCAGACAGUCUUUAC